CGAAAGUGGGGGGAUAACCUGGGGAAACCCAGGCUAAUACCGCAUACGUCCUACGGGAGAAAGCGGGGGCUCUUCGGACCUCGCGCUAUCGGAUGAGCCUAUGUCGGAUUAGCUAGUUGGUGAGGUAACGGCUCACCAAGGCGACGAUCCGUAGCUGGUCUGAGAGGAUGAUCAGCCACACCGGGACUGAGACACGGCCCGGACUCCUACGGGAGGCAGCAGUGGGGAAUAUUGGACAAUGGGCGCAAGCCUGAUCCAGCCAUGCCGCGUGUGUGAAGAAGGCUUUCGGGUUGUAAAGCACUUUCAGUGGGGAAGAAGGCCUGGCGGUCAAUACCCGCCAGGGACGACAUCACCCACAGAAGAAGCACCGGCUAACUCCGUGCCAGCAGCCGCGGUAAUACGGAGGGUGCGAGCGUUAAUCGGAAUUACUGGGCGUAAAGCGCGCGUAGG
Molecule: ribosomal RNA, 450 nt
Filed under: Halomonas korlensis
Lineage: Bacteria; Pseudomonadati; Pseudomonadota; Gammaproteobacteria; Oceanospirillales; Halomonadaceae
Description: bacterial SSU rRNA
Rfam family: Bacterial small subunit ribosomal RNA
Source: RNAcentral